CUAUGUGCAAAAAUUCUUUAUGAAUCUUGAGACAUUCAAUUUGUAUCUUUUUACCAAAAUGUUUAUUGGAGAUUUAGGAACAAUGCAGAUUAAAGAAUUGUGCUUGAUGACAUCAUGGCAUGUCACAGUAAUAAGUGAUUAAGUAAUAUGACGUCAUUCAAGGACACAAAGCAUCACUGUUUCAAACACAACCUCCAGUUGCAUACAUUUAUUCUAUACAUUUUCAUUGUUUAGUCUAGC
Molecule: non-coding RNA, 240 nt
Organism: Pelobates cultripes (western spadefoot toad)
Lineage: Eukaryota; Metazoa; Chordata; Amphibia; Anura; Pelobatidae
Source: the annotation of a GenBank genome assembly